RNAcentral lists this ribosomal RNA (253 nucleotides) under uncultured bacterium. Its description in RNAcentral is "partial 16S ribosomal RNA". It matches the Rfam family "Bacterial small subunit ribosomal RNA", at positions 524 to 776 of the family's 1533-position model. The record is from RNAcentral.
UACGUAGGCAGCGAGCGUUGUUCGGAGUUACUGGGCGUAAAGGGUGCGCAGGCGGUGGAGCAAGUCUGUUGUGAAAUCUCCCGGCUUAACCGGGAGGGUGCGGCGGAAACUGUUCUGCUGGAGUGAGGGAGAGGCAAGCGGAAUUCCUGGUGUAGCGGUGAAAUGCGUAGAUAUCAGGAGGAACACCCGUGGUGCAGACGGCUUGCUGGACCUCCACUGACGCUGAGGCACGAAAGCGUGGGGAGCAAACAGG